This 1153-nucleotide long non-coding RNA is filed under the name Neogale vison (American mink). Its description in RNAcentral is "Neovison vison (American mink) lncRNA (ENSNVIG00000024805.1)". Lineage: Eukaryota; Metazoa; Chordata; Mammalia; Carnivora; Mustelidae. The record is from RNAcentral.
GGCUCUAACCCAGUGAGCCACCCAGGUGCCCCAGCACACUGAAAGAUUUUUAUAAUAGCCUCUGAGAUUGUUCUUGCCCAGUGAAGGGAAUGUUCAUGGUGUAAAAAUUUUUUAUGCAGAAAAUCACCUGGGAUGCCUGUUAAAAAUGCAGAUUCCUGGGCAGCCAGAACCGUGUCAUUGGUCAAGAGCAACACUAAGACCUACCUGUCACUUAUGUUGAGGCUUCUUGCCUAGUGGGUUCAUCAGCAAGCCAGAAUGAAUCCCCAUUGACAUGAAUGUCCUUGUGAGGCAGUUGGGAAUUCUUGUCACAGAAGCUGCAAUGAAUUCUCUCAUGGCCCUGAAGUAUGGUUUGUUCCCAUGGAGAAGAACCUAACAGAAGAUUGAUAGCGUGGACAUUUCUGGCAUCAGGGAUGAGGAAGUGCUUCCUCCAUCCUGCAAGCUUCUGGGAACUCAGUGCCCAUUGUGUACAGGAUAUGUACCCAUUGAAGACCUUCAUGCCCUCCAAUAUAAGGCUAACUGUGUUCUCACUACAGAAGUUUAGAAUCAGAGAGUUUCUUCUCUCUGCUGCCUUUUGAGCUGCGGCACUAUGCUGGGAGAUGGGACUAUGGAGACGAAUUUAGGCACAGUCCCUGCCCUCAGGUGUUCUCAGUCUAGUGAGAGGGUUCGACGUGUACACAGAUAAUUACAACAGUAUGGUAUGCUCUACAAUGGAGGUAUGUACAAGAUACUAUGGGGUUUAGAAGAGAAAUCAUUUGAUUGAGUAUAGAGAUGCCAGAGGUUGGAGAAACUGAUGCUUAAGUGGCUUAAAAGAAGUUAACGCUAGACUAGGAAGAAGACAGGGAAGUACCUGUUAAACAUAGGUGUGGACAUUGGAGAUAGAAUGAUGACAUGGGGGAACUACAAGUAGUUCCUAAAAUUCAGACGUGGGCUGACACUAGGUCCUUAUGUAGUAUUCAAUGAAAUAUGGAUUUCAUUUUGAGUGUUUAAGUAGGAGAUGCUUUUGAUGGUCACUCUGGCAGUAUUCUAGAGUAUGUUCUGGAAGAUACUCAGAUCUGGACAGGGAGAUUAGUUAGUAGGUAAGAUGAUAAAUUACCUAAGGCCAGAAGGAGUGGGAGUGGAGGAAUGGAGCUAACCUCUUAAUGAGAGGCUGUAC